This 253-nucleotide ribosomal RNA is filed under the name uncultured bacterium. RNAcentral describes it as "partial 16S ribosomal RNA". It matches the Rfam family "Bacterial small subunit ribosomal RNA", at positions 524 to 776 of the family's 1533-position model. The record is from RNAcentral.
CACGUAGGGCGCGAGCGUUGUCCGGAAUUAUUGGGCGUAAAGAGCUCGUAGGCGGCCUGUUGCGUCCGCUGUGAAAGCCCGGGGCUUAACCCCGGGUCGGCAGUGGAUACGGGCAGGCUAGAGGUAGGUAGGGGAGAAUGGAAUUCCCGGUGUAGCGGUGAAAUGCGCAGAUAUCAGGAGGAACACCGGUGGCGAAGGCGGGUCUCUGGGCCGAUAUUGACGCUGAGGAGCGAAAGCGUGGGGAGCAAACAGG